RNAcentral lists this small nucleolar RNA (107 nucleotides) under Gossypium arboreum. RNAcentral's name for it is "Plant small nucleolar RNA R71". It matches the Rfam family "Plant small nucleolar RNA R71". Rfam says of the family: R71 is a member of the C/D box family of snoRNAs containing the C (UGAUGA) and D (CUGA) box motifs. The record is from Rfam by way of RNAcentral. Lineage: Eukaryota; Viridiplantae; Streptophyta; Magnoliopsida; Malvales; Malvaceae.
AACCCAUGGUGAGGACACCUUCUCAGUAAGUCCUUGUACCUUUCCCAUUCAUCAUAUAGAGUUUCUAAAUCCAUUUGUAUGAAGGAAGAGAUAUCAUCCGUCAAUUU